GAAACAGACAACAUGUUAGUCAGGUAGAGAGACGACUCCCCUGGGAAACAGACAACAUGUUAGUCAGGUAGAGAGACGACUCCCCUGGGAAACAGACCACAUGUUAGUCAGGUAGAGAGAGACGACUCCCCUGGGAAACAGACCACAUGUUAGUCAGGUAGAGAGAGACGACUCCCCUGGGAAACAGACAACAUGUUAGUCAGGUAGAGAGAGACGACUCCCCUGGGAAACAGACAACAUGUUAGUCAGAGAGAGAGACGACUCCCCUGGGAAACAGACAACAUGUUAGUCAGGUAGAGAGAGAGACGACUCCCCUGGGAAACAGACAACAUGUUAGUCAGGUAGAGAGAGACGACUCCCCUGGGAAACAGACAACAUGUUAGUCAGAGAGAGAGAGACGACUCCCCUGGGAAACAGACAACAUGUUAGUCAGGUAGAGAGACGACUCCCCUGGGAAACAGACAACAUGUUAGUCAGGUAGAGAGAGACGACUCCCCUGGGAAACAGACAACAUGUUAGUCAGGUAGAGAGACGACUCCCCUGGGAAACAGACAACAUGUUAGUCAGAGAGAGAGACGACUCCCCUGGGAAACAGACAACAUGUUAGUCAGAGAGAGAGACGACUCCCCUGGGAAACAGACAACAUGUUAGUCAGGUAGAGAGAGACGACUCCCCUGGGAAACAGACAACAUGUUAGUCAGAGAGAGAGACGACUCCCCUGGGAAACAGACAACAUGUUAGUCAGGUAGAGAGAGACGACUCCCCUGGGAAACAGACAACAUGUUAGUCAGAGAGAGAGAGACGACUCCCCUGGGAAACAGACAACAUGUUAGUCAGGUAGAGAGACGACUCCCCUGGGAAACAGACAACAUGUUAGUCAGAGAGAGAGACGACUCCCCUGGGAAACAGACAACAUGUUAGUCAGGUAGAGAGAGACGACUCCCCUGGGAAACAGACAACAUGUUAGUCAGGUAGAGAGACGACUCCCCUGGGAAACAGACAACAUGUUAGUCAGAGAGAGAGAGACGACUCCCCUGGGAAACAGACAACAUGUUAGUCAGGUAGAGAGACGACUCCCCUGGGAAACAGACAACAUGUUAGUCAGGUAGAGAGACGACUCCCCUGGGAAACAGACAACAUGUUAGUCAGGUAGAGAGACGACUCCCCUGGGAAACAGACAACAUGUUAGUCAGAGAGAGAGACGACUCCCCUGGGAAACAGACAACAUGUUAGUCAGGUAGAGAGACGACUCCCCUGGGAAACAGACAACAUGUUAGUCAGGUAGAGAGACGACUCCCCUGGGAAACAGACAACAUGUUAGUCAGGUAGAGAGAGACGACUCCCCUGGGAAACAGACAACAUGUUAGUCAGAGAGAGAGACGACUCCCCUGGGAAACAGACAACAUGUUAGUCAGGUAGAGAGAGACGACUCCCCUGGGAAACAGACAACAUGUUAGUCAGGUAGAGAGACG
Molecule: long non-coding RNA, 1472 nt
Organism: Oncorhynchus keta (chum salmon)
Lineage: Eukaryota; Metazoa; Chordata; Actinopteri; Salmoniformes; Salmonidae
Exons: 5
Source: RefSeq, a predicted model, not a curated record